This 200-nucleotide long non-coding RNA is filed under the name Elaeis guineensis (African oil palm). Its description in RNAcentral is "long non-coding RNA (EGUI_LNC055607)". Lineage: Eukaryota; Viridiplantae; Streptophyta; Magnoliopsida; Arecales; Arecaceae. The record is from RNAcentral.
UUGUUUAUAUUUAGGAUGCCUCUAAGUGAAAGUGUGAAUGCCAUGUGUAUAGUUAAUCUACAAUAAUAGGAAUAUAAUAUAAGCGGAUGACUUAUGAUGAUAUUCACAACUGACUAGGAUUUUUAUCUAAUUGUGUCUCCCACUAUUUUAUUGAACUUCAUAGCCCUCAAAUAUGAAAAUCGAGAAACAUACUAAUGUUU